UGAAAUAAUGGAAUAAAAGACUCCUUGGAAGCAAAAGGCCUCUUGUUGAUUAAUGAGAAAUGCCAACCUCAAGAAAAAAAAUUGUUUUAAACCUACAAAGAAUUUACAUAAACAUCCUAAUACAAACAGGAAAAGAGGGGAAGGGAUUGUUUAAACUAGAAAGGUGAGUUAGCACCUGUUAAUGACCAGUUUGUUAGCUCACAAGCUGUUAACACUCAAACAAACUGGUCGUUAAAUGGGGUUAUUACAGAUUUCAAUGGAAAUUGAUUAGAGCCUUUAUUUAAAGAUUUAAUGGAAGGGCAACCCUCAGCCCUGCACACCUGGAGUAUCAAAGUGGCCAAAGGAAACCUCGGAGCUGCUUCAUCUGGAUAAAACAGGAUGAUUUCAGAGAGGCCUGGAGAGACUUACAUGAACUGAUGCUAAGUGAAAUGAGCAGAACCAGGAGAUCAUUGUACACAGCAACAGCAAGAUUAUAUGAUGAUCAAUUCUGACUGGCGUGGCUCUUCAACAGUGAGAUGAUUGAGGCCAGUUGCAAUGAUCUUGUGAUGAAAAGAGCCAUCCCUAUCCAGAGAGAGUUCUGUGGGAACUGAGUGUGGAUUACAACAUAGCAUUUUCACUGUUUUUGUUGUUGGUUGCUUGCAUUUUGUUUUCUUUCUCACUGUUUCCUGUUUGAUCUGAUUUUUCUUGGGCAGCAAGAUAAUUGUAUAAUAUGUAUACAUAUAUUGGAUUUAACAUAUAUUUUUAACAUGUUUAACAAAAAAAAAAAAGAAAUCUAUCAUUCUCUUUCAUAUGGGUCUAUUCUGUCUUUUCUCUUAUUUUUUUCUCUUCCUCUUACCACUUAGACUACCAGCUUAUUUAGUACAGAAUUGGAUCUUACAACAAAAGUAACCAAAGAAAUACCUACUAUGCACCUGUACUAAGAGCUAUGGAAGAUAUAAAGAACUACAAGAAA
Long non-coding RNA from Antechinus flavipes (yellow-footed antechinus), 952 nucleotides. RefSeq lists it as uncharacterized. The record is from RefSeq and is a predicted model, not a curated record. Lineage: Eukaryota; Metazoa; Chordata; Mammalia; Dasyuromorphia; Dasyuridae. The transcript is spliced from 2 exons.